RNAcentral lists this non-coding RNA (167 nucleotides) under bovine gut metagenome. RNAcentral describes it as "glmS glucosamine-6-phosphate activated ribozyme". It matches the Rfam family "glmS glucosamine-6-phosphate activated ribozyme aptamer", at positions 9 to 149 of the family's 167-position model. Rfam says of the family: This entry contains a glucosamine-6-phosphate activated ribozyme that is found in the mRNA for GlmS. The record is from RNAcentral.
GAAAAGCGCCUGAGCCUUUUUGCCUGGUUAGUAAAUUGAAUCGGUGCUUGUUGCGGAGCAAAAAGGAUGACGAGGAUGGAAGAUGAUCGAAUUUCGGCGGAUGCUUCCCGGCUUUACAGAGAAGCCGCCGGACGGUGUACAAAAACACGGGCGACCGUGUGACAGAA